GUCUGAGGUUGUGAAGUAUGUUGUACUGGACCUCUCCCACAAAGCCACAUCCUUCACCUUGUUCUCAGCUUUCUCAUCUGGCUACACAAUGCUCUAGUACCUUAACAAGAUUCAGCUGAAAAGAGACUGCCUUCAUCCACAAAUUGAAAGAGAAAAGCUGUUUGGUAUUUCCAAGGGAGAGGGGGCAAACUUCUGAGUUUUCCCACAUUUUUCUCCAAUAAAGUUGUUUCUCUCUCUUA
Peromyscus eremicus (cactus mouse) is the source of this 239-nucleotide long non-coding RNA. RefSeq lists it as uncharacterized. The transcript has 2 exons. The record is from RefSeq and is a predicted model, not a curated record. Lineage: Eukaryota; Metazoa; Chordata; Mammalia; Rodentia; Cricetidae.